Molecule: ribosomal RNA, 497 nt
Filed under: uncultured bacterium
Lineage: Bacteria
Description: partial 16S ribosomal RNA
Rfam family: Bacterial small subunit ribosomal RNA
Source: RNAcentral
GAUGAACGCUGGCGGCGUGCCUAAUACAUGCCAGUCGAGCGAACAGACGAGGAGCUUGCUCCUCUGACGUUAGCGGCGGACGGGUGAGUAACACGUGGAUAACCUACCUAUAAGACUGGGAUAACUUCGGGAAACCGGAGCUAAUACCGGAUAAUAUAUUGAACCGCAUGGUUCAAUAGUGAAUGACGGUUUUGCUGUCACUUAUAGAUGGAUCCGCGCCGCAUUAGCUAGUUGGUAAGGUAACGGCUUACCAAGGCAACGAUGCGUAGCCGACCUGAGAGGGUGAUCGGCCACACUGGAACUGAGACACGGUCCAGACUCCUACGGGAGGCAGCAGUAGGGAAUCUUCCGCAAUGGGCGAAAGCUUGACGGAGCAACGCCGCGUGAGUGAUGAAGGUCUUCGGAUCGUAAAACUCUGUUAUUAGGGAAGAACAAAUGUGUAAGUAACUAUGCACGUCUUGACGGUACCUAAUCAGAAAGCCACGGCUAACUACGUG